UCCCGGGUGGUGUAAUUGGCAACACAGCGGAUUUUGGCUCCGCCAUUCAUGGUUCAAAUCCAUGCCCGGGAG
This 72-nucleotide transfer RNA is filed under the name Planctomycetota bacterium. RNAcentral's name for it is "Planctomycetes bacterium (freshwater metagenome) tRNA-Gln". It matches the Rfam family "tRNA". Rfam says of the family: Transfer RNA (tRNA) molecules are approximately 80 nucleotides in length. Their secondary structure includes four short double-helical elements and three loops (D, anti-codon, and T loops). The record is from RNAcentral. Lineage: Bacteria; Pseudomonadati; Planctomycetota.